GCCCGCGUAGCUCAGCCGGUAGAGCACACCCUUGGUAAGGGUGAGGCCACUGGUUCAAGUCCAGUCGCGGGCA
RNAcentral lists this transfer RNA (73 nucleotides) under Thiohalorhabdus denitrificans. It matches the Rfam family "tRNA". From Rfam's summary of the family: Transfer RNA (tRNA) molecules are approximately 80 nucleotides in length. Their secondary structure includes four short double-helical elements and three loops (D, anti-codon, and T loops). Further hydrogen bonds mediate the characteristic L-shaped molecular structure. tRNAs have two regions of fundamental functional importance: the anti-codon, which is responsible for specific mRNA codon recognition, and the 3' end, to which the tRNAs corresponding amino acid is attached (by aminoacyl-tRNA synthetases). tRNAs cope with the degeneracy of the genetic code in two manners: having more than one tRNA (with a specific anti-codon) for a particular amino acid; and 'wobble' base-pairing, i.e. permitting non-standard base-pairing at the 3rd anti-codon position. The record is from Rfam by way of RNAcentral. Lineage: Bacteria; Pseudomonadati; Pseudomonadota; Gammaproteobacteria; Thiohalorhabdales; Thiohalorhabdaceae.